UACUUUCCUGGUUUUCCCAAUCCCAAGGGUUUUCCCUGUGCUCUCCCAGUAUUCCCAGGUGUUUUUCCUGCUCACACCCUGCUCUCCCAGUGUUCCCAAGGGUUAUUCCCAUCCUCUCCCCAUGUUCCCAGGUGUUUCUCCCUCUCCUGCUGACCCCCUGCUCUCCUGAUGAUCCCAAGGUUUUUCCCCAUGUUCUCCCAGUAUUCCCAGGAGAUUUUCCCUCUCCUGGUGUUCCCAAGGGUUUUUCCCUGUCCCAGUGAUCCUGAGAGUUUUUUCCCAUGAUCUCCUGGUGUUCCUGUUUUUUCCUGCUCACCCCCUGCUCUCUUGGUGAUCCCAAGGUUUUUCCCCAUGUACUCCUCAUGUUCCAGAGUGUUUUGCCCGUGCUCUCUUGGUGAUCCCAAGGUUUUUCCCCAUGUACUCCCCAUUUUCCAAGGGUUUUUCCCUCUCCCAAUGUUUCCAAGGGUUUUCUCCAUCCUCUCCCAGUGUUCCCAAGGGGUUUUCCCAUGAUCUCCCAGUGCUUUUCCCUGCUCCUCCUGACCCCUUGCUCUCCUGGUGAUCCCAAGGGUUUUCCUCAUGCUCUCCCAGUGAUCCUGAGUGUUUUCCUUCUCCCACUGUUCCCGAGGGUUUUAUCCAUGUUCCAGAGUGUUUUCCCCACCCUUUCCCAAUAUUCCCAGCUGGUUUUCCCUCUCCCCUGGUGAUCCCAAGGUGUUUUCUCAUCCUCUCCCAGUAUUCCCAGGUGUUUUUCCCUCUCCCAGUAUUCCCAGGAAUUUUCCCACCCUCUCCCAGCAUUUCCCAGCUGUUUUUCCCUCUCCCAGCUUAUUCCCAGGUGUUUUCCUUCUCCUGGUGGUCCCAAGGGUUGUUCCCAUGCUCUGCCAGUGUUCCCAGGUGUUUUUCCCAUUCUCUCCCGUUCCAAAUGGUUUUCCCAGUAUUCCCAGGUGUUAUUCCCUCUCCCCUGGUGAUCCCAAGGGUUAUUCCCACACUCUCCCAGUAUUCCCAGGUGCUAUUCCCAUGUUCUCCCAGUAUUCCUAGCUGGUUUUCCCACCCUCUCCCAGUAUUCCCAGAUGUUUUUCCCUCUCCUGCUGACCCCCUGCUCUCCUGGUGAUCCCAAGGAUUUUCCCCAUGUUCUCCCAGUAUUCCCAAGUGUUUUUCUCAUGCUCUCCCAAUAUUCCCAGGUGUUUGUCCUUCUCCCCUGG
This 1193-nucleotide long non-coding RNA is filed under the name Zonotrichia albicollis (white-throated sparrow). RNAcentral describes it as "lncRNA (ENSZALG00000002665.1)". The record is from RNAcentral. Lineage: Eukaryota; Metazoa; Chordata; Aves; Passeriformes; Passerellidae.